CCUACGGGAGGCAGCAGUGGGGAAUAUUGCGCAAUGGGGGAAACCCUGAUGCAGCAACGCCGCGUGAGCGAAGAAGUAUUUCGGUAUGUAAAGCUCUAUCAGCAGGGAAGAAAAUGUCGGUAACUAACUAAGAAGAUCCGGCUACAUACUUGCCAGCAGCCGCGGUAAGACGUAUGGGGCACACGUUAGCCGGAUUUACUGGGUGUAAAGUGAGCGUAGGCGGUUAGGCAAGUCUGAUGUGAAAGGCCAGGGCUCAACCCUGGGACUGCAUUGGAAACUGAAUAACUGGAGUGUCGGAGAGGCAAGUGGAAUUCCUAGUGUAGCGGUGAAAUGCGUAGAGAUUAGGAGGAACACCAGUGGCGAAGGCGGCUUGCUGGACGAUGACUGACGCUGAGGCUCGAAAGCGUGGGGAGCAAACAGGAUUAGAUACCCUAGUAGUC
Molecule: ribosomal RNA, 440 nt
Filed under: uncultured bacterium
Lineage: Bacteria
Description: partial 16S ribosomal RNA
Rfam family: Bacterial small subunit ribosomal RNA
Source: RNAcentral